RNAcentral lists this ribosomal RNA (119 nucleotides) under Pteropus alecto (black flying fox). Lineage: Eukaryota; Metazoa; Chordata; Mammalia; Chiroptera; Pteropodidae. The record is from RNAcentral.
GUCUAUGGCCAUGCUACCCAGAACAAGUCUGAUCUCGUCUGAUCUCGGAAGCUAAGCAGGGUCGGGACCGAUUAGUACUUGGAUGGGAGACCACCUAGGGAGACCGGGUGCUGUAGGCA